This 783-nucleotide ribosomal RNA is filed under the name uncultured bacterium. Its description in RNAcentral is "bacterial SSU rRNA". It matches the Rfam family "Bacterial small subunit ribosomal RNA", at positions 8 to 796 of the family's 1533-position model. The record is from RNAcentral.
AGAGUUUGAUCCUGGCUCAGGACGAACGCUGGCGGCGUGCUUAACACAUGCAAGUCGAACGGUAAGGCCCUUCGGGGUACACGAGUGGCGAACGGGUGAGUAACACGUGGGUAAUCUGCCCUGCACAUCGGGAUAAGCCUGGGAAACUGGGUCUAAUACCGAAUAGGACCACAGGACACAUGUCCUGUGGUGGAAAGCUUUUGCGGUGUGGGAUGGGCCCGCGGCCUAUCAGCUUGUCGGUGGGGUGAUGGCCUACCAAGGCGACGACGGGUAGCCGGCCUGAGAGGGUGUCCGGCCACACUGGGACUGAGAUACGGCCCAGACUCCUACGGGAGGCAGCAGUGGGGAAUAUUGCACAAUGGGCGAAAGCCUGAUGCAGCGACGCCGCGUGGGGGAUGACGGCCUUCGGGUUGUAAACCUCUUUCACCAUCGACGAAGGUCCGGGUUUUCUCGGGCUGACGGUAGGUGGAGAAGAAGCACCGGCCAACUACGUGCCAGCAGCCGCGGUAAUACGUAGGGUGCGAGCGUUGUCCGGAAUUACUGGGCGUAAAGAGCUCGUAGGUGGUUUGUCGCGUUGUUCGUGAAAUCUCACGGCUUAACUGUGAGCGUGCGGGCGAUACGGGCAGACUUGAGUACUGCAGGGGAGACUGGAAUUCCUGGUGUAGCGGUGGAAUGCGCAGAUAUCAGGAGGAACACCGGUGGCGAAGGCGGGUCUCUGGGCAGUAACUGACGCUGAGGAGCGAAAGCGUGGGGAGCGAACAGGAUUAGAUACCCUGGUAGUCC